GUUAGUGGGUAAUUGCGUGUUGCUUAUGCAGCAUGAGGAAAGUCCAUGCUCGCACUGACUGUGAUGUCAGUAGUGUUCGUGCUAGCUGAAAAAAUAAGGCUAGGCAGCCAGCAAUGGUUGACGGCCAACGAACAGCCUAAGGGAAACUAUGGCUUAAUAGUUGUGAAAGUGCCACAGUGACGAGCCUGCAAAGAAAUGCGCAGGGUGGAACGCGGUAAACCCCUCGAGCGGGCAACCCAAACUUUGGUAGGGGCGCUUGACCUAGCGAAUUGAAGUGAUGGUCGGGGAGACAGAAAUGUCUGAGAUAGAUGAUUGCCACCGUUUCUUAAACGCCAAUUUUUGAAACGGAACAAAACAUGGCUUAUAGCU
This 369-nucleotide RNase P RNA is filed under the name Lactobacillaceae bacterium. RNAcentral describes it as "RNase P RNA component class B". It matches the Rfam family "Bacterial RNase P class B". From Rfam's summary of the family: Ribonuclease P (RNase P) is a ubiquitous endoribonuclease, found in archaea, bacteria and eukarya as well as chloroplasts and mitochondria. Its best characterised activity is the generation of mature 5'-ends of tRNAs by cleaving the 5'-leader elements of precursor-tRNAs. The record is from RNAcentral. Lineage: Bacteria; Bacillati; Bacillota; Bacilli; Lactobacillales; Lactobacillaceae.